CCGAGGCGGGCGGUGCGGCCAGUUACCAGGGCGCGAAGAACAUGACGAAGUGCGCGGCGCUGUGGAUGCCGUGCGUGAACAUGUCGGCCGUGUACAGCCUUCCAAGAGCUCCAGUGGGAGGAAUUGCUGCUGACAGCGGAAAACUACAGUUUCUGUCUUCCACCUGCUGAGAGUGAAAUGAACCCCCAAUGUGUUGCCACUUUGGGAAGAGGACCCCACAGAACAUUCUCUUAAUAUGGAAACUGAAAUGCCACCAUUUGAACCCCUCUAACAGAACAUCCUGCAAGGUGCAUCUAAAGAAGAAGAGAAACCGUAGUUUUCUCAAGGAGCUUUUGUGAUGGUUCAGAUGUGAGUGUUGAGGAAGAGGGCAGAGCUGAAGGAUUGCUCUCAACAGAGAAAGUCCAAAGAAAAAGACUGAAGGUCCUGGGCAAAGAGUGAGGCAAGUGAAAAUGAGAACGUUGGCUUUUUUUUUUUUUUAAUCAUUCCUUUUUUAAUUAAAGUAUGGUUGAUUUACACUG
This is a long non-coding RNA of Balaenoptera ricei (Rice's whale), 518 nucleotides long. RefSeq lists it as uncharacterized. The record is from RefSeq and is a predicted model, not a curated record. The transcript has 3 exons. Lineage: Eukaryota; Metazoa; Chordata; Mammalia; Artiodactyla; Balaenopteridae.